GCAAUACACCGCUGGCGACCGGCGCACGGGUGAGUAACACGUAUCCAACCUGCCCUUUACUCGGGGAUAGCCUUUCGAAAGAAAGAUUAAUACCCGAUGGUAUAACAUGACCUCCUGGUUUUGUUAUUAAAGAAUUUCGGUAGAGGAUGGGGAUGCGUUCCAUUAGGCAGUUGGCGGGGUAACGGCCCACCAAACCUUCGAUGGAUAGGGGUUCUGAGAGGAAGGUCCCCCACAUUGGAACUGAGACACGGUCCAAACUCCUACGGGAGGCAGCAGUGAGGAAUAUUGGUCAAUGGGCGAGAGCCUGAACCAGCCAAGUAGCGUGAAGGAUGACCGCCCUAUGGGUUGUAAACUUCUUUUAUAUGGGAAUAAAGUUUGCCACGUGUGGCAUUUUGUAUGUACCAUAUGAAUAAGGAUCGGCUAACUCCGUGCCAGCAGCCGCGGUAAUGCGGAGGAUCCGAGCGUUAUCCGGAUUUAUUGGGUUUAAAGGGAGCGUAGGUGGACAUGUAAGUCAGUUGUGAAAGUUUGCGGCUCAACCGUAAAAUUGCAGUUGAUACUGCGUGUCUUGAGUACAGUAGAGGUGGGCGGAAUUCGUGGUGU
RNAcentral lists this ribosomal RNA (600 nucleotides) under uncultured Bacteroidales bacterium. RNAcentral describes it as "bacterial SSU rRNA". It matches the Rfam family "Bacterial small subunit ribosomal RNA", at positions 78 to 676 of the family's 1533-position model. Lineage: Bacteria; Pseudomonadati; Bacteroidota; Bacteroidia; Bacteroidales. The record is from RNAcentral.